Molecule: RNA transcript, 3462 nt
Organism: Strongylocentrotus purpuratus (purple sea urchin)
Lineage: Eukaryota; Metazoa; Echinodermata; Echinoidea; Camarodonta; Strongylocentrotidae
Gene name: adhesion G protein-coupled receptor L3-like
Exons: 2
Source: RefSeq, a predicted model, not a curated record
AGGUGCGAUGACAUGUGCCAAUUCUUUGGUGAUUGCUGUCCAGACUACCCUCUACCAAUCUUUAACGAGACUCCAUCAAACGAGACUCUACUGAACGAGACAGAAUCAAACGAGACUCCAUCAAACGAGACUCUAUCAGCCGAGACUAUAUCAAACGAGACUCUAUCAAAUGAGACUCUAUCGAACGAGACUCUAUCAAACAAGACUCUAUCAAACGAGACCCUACCAAACGAGACUCUAUCAAACGAGACUGUAUUAGACCUUGACGUAUGGGAAUGUAUCGUUGAUUCUUUCCUUCCACUAUUCUACCCAUUUCUUGGACAUGGUUACAGGAUGAUUGCUAGGUGCCCAUCAGGAUGGUCUUUAGAGGAGGAUGUCAAACGAAAUUGUGAAGAGGUUCCUCCCAAUGCAACUAUAGAUGUUCUUUAUAUCUACAACAACAUAUACUUUAGAAACCUGGGUUGUGCUACUUGCCAUGGGUAUACUGAAAGUUCUUUGACAGCUGUUGUCAUUUCAGCAGACCAACAAUGUUGGUGGGGAUAUGAGUAUACCCUUGCCUGCAUGACACCAAUGCCCGCAUUACAGUCCAACGUUUCGAUGAUUAUCAGCGGAUCUGAUAUCAUGCCUACUGUUCAAACUAUUCCGAAACCUCGACUUUGCCUCGUGAAUACAACUGGAAGUUGUCCAAAUGGGACAAAUGAAGAGAUAGCCAGCGAGUGUCAGUAUUAUUACAAACCAUUCAUUAUUGAAGGCGUUGUAAGGAAGCAUCCUGCAUGCAGUAAUUGCAACGGAGGUCCCUUGGUCAUAUGCCAACCAAUGAUAACUGAUCAUGUGGAUGCACGGAAUUUACCAAUGUAUGAGUAUGACGAACCAAUGCAUAACGAAGGAAUAAUUGAUAUUUUUAUAAUGCCCGAACCCAUCAGGCCCCUAGUAGUACAAUGCAUAGAAGGAUUUGAAAUGGAUGACAAUGGUAACUGCGCUCCCAUAUCAUCCGAUUGGCCCGUCUGUCAAUCCAAAUAUUUUGGAGUCAAACAAAGUAACGGAACUGUAGAGUGUUUAGAAGAGAUGGUUUGUUUCAGGGAGGUGACCAUGGAUAACAUUACAAUAUCGGCAAUAGUUCCCCCACCUUGUCUAGUUAGGUCUUCAACAGACGUGGUUAAUGAUACUAUAACAUUUAGUGUGAUUUACAGAGAUGACAUGAACCCAUCUCUUGAUAUAAUCCAGAGAGACAUCAUACAUCAACUUCAAACUCCUAGCCGUGACGGUUGCAAGGACAUAGUAAUAUCAACUAGUCAAUCCUGUUAUGUCGAAGAAAAUCCUGAAAACAUUACAUAUCGUUGUCCCGAGGAAAUGUUUGCUGGAUAUUAUUUAGAUCUUACGCCUUCUCUUAUCAACAAUGAGUCUCUUAUUUACUUCAAUGGAACUUAUAUUCGACCAACAUGGUGGAGUAAUAUCACCAACAUGCAGUUCAGCAGUGACAACGUCUCAUCAGAGUAUCAGUUUGUUAUGUGUGGGACCGAGAUUGCCCUCCAAACAUGCUCUUUCUUCACGGUUUCCAAUGAUUCCAUUGAAUGGGACUAUCAAGGAAACCAGUCUGUUAUUCUGUAUCAAGGUCAGAUGUACGACAUAGAGGACAUUCUGAUUCAUCCCGAUGGUUCCAUAAGCAUCUGCUAUAUUGAUCAGGUCACACCCAUUAGUAGAAGGACAUUGAUAAUCCUAGGACAUGUUCUCUUUGCCACAUCAUCAAUUUGUCUCUUUGCUACAUUGAUAACUUACGUUGCCUUCUCUACCUUGAGGAAUCGUCAAGGUGUAUCCAUAAUGAAUUUCAUUGUUGCGUUGUUCCUUGGACAAAUCUUCCUUCAGUACAUUCGUCUUUUAGUCUCCCAGUUGGGAAUACCUUGCAUAGUCGUUGCUGCGAUGUCACAUUUCUUCUUCCUUGCUUCGUUUUUUUGGACGACUAUCCUUGCUUGGGACCUGAGUCGGAGCUUCGCAGCAAGUAAGAUGAAAUCGUUUUCAUCUAGCACAUUUGGUCGUAAGAUGGUGUUUUUUCUUGUUAUUGGAUGGGGCACCCCUCUCGUCUUUGUCUCGAUCACUUUGUUACUUCAGUUCGGAGGAUUUAAAAUGGUCCUUUUUUGGAAUACGACAGUAAUACAUGCUGGCUUGCCAAACUAUCUAGCAUAGUAAUGUUCUUUAUUCCAAUGACUCUUUGUCUUCUAUCUAAUCUCGUGUUUUUUGUCAUCACGAUACAUGGAGUUCAUUCUAUCAAGAAAACAACAUCUAUGCUAAAAUCUGGCCAGGACUCUCAAUUGAAACAAUGGACGGUUGAGCUCAGAAUAUAUGUCAAGAUCUCAGCUCUUCUUGGAUUCGCCUGGUUAUUUGGGUUCUUAGCUAUGGUCAUCAGAGUCCCCUUCAUGGACUAUCUCUUCAUCAUCGUCAUCAGUCUCCAAGGCGUCUUCAUUUUCAUUUCAUUCGGUGCCAACAAACGAGUCAAGAAACUCUGGCGAACAUUUUCGCAGAACUCAACGCUGUGGACGACUCUUUCUCGAAGAGAGCAUUCAAGCGGUCGUAGUAAUACUGGAACACAGGAUGGACGCACACAAUGUAGUGAGAAACAUUAGACACUAUAAAUAUAAAUGGAAGGAAGAAAGCGCAGAUACUUACCAUAAGUUGCUAGAAGGGAAGGGGUAGUAAAACUCCGGCUGCAGUUCCCACUCGUCAACAGAGAGAGAGAGCCUUGAAUGGGUGGGUGAGGGGUAGAGAGGUCUAUUAAGAGCCAUUAAAUCACUAAGCUGCGACUGUUAGCGCAACACUCGAACGGCAUUCGCAAGGGAGUUUCCCAAUUAUCUCGAAACUUUCGUGGGGUUCUAUAGUUCUCAAUUACCUCGCGUGACUAGCCGGUCCUUCCUCUCGUGUUGCUGGAAUUUUAAACUAAAUUUUCUCUCAAAAUAGUCACAGAGUCGUCGCGUAUGUCUCGAACCCUUCUCAAUAGGUCAUUUUCGUAAUGUGUAUGCAUGUGCAUUAGUAAAGCGCCUAGAUACGAAUAAAUGUAUCUCAAUAGUCACGUUUCAAAUUGCAUUUAUUCGUUCUUGCUAGGUAAGACAAACAUGACUAGCCCUACCUACCAACAUGUUAUAUAUGUUAUUUGCAUUCUGACUAAUGAAUUAACAAUGGAUGCCCCCCUCCACAAAUUUUAUUUUUCGUUAUAGAAAGUGAUAGUGGGAUGGAAAGGUACACUAAAUUAUAUAUUUUUUUACUAAUAUUUUACAAAUUGUUACUACCCUUGUAUAUAAAUUGAAAUAUAAUUGAUUUUUUGUUGUUGCCUAAAUACAACUUGGCAAUGCUAUUUUAUCGUAUCAAAAAAUGUUUUAAUAUUUAGAAAACACGUAUUAAAGUUAUACCCCUUAACAAAAAAGUCUAAAUAAAUUUAAAUUUGUUAACUAUAUUUUCACUAUAUCUUAUUAA